CUGUACAUUUUUGAAUAGGCGCAAACUUGAAAACGCACGAGACGUUGGAAGUGGGAAUUUGUAGAGUGGAAGAAUCAGUAUUUGUGAUCUAUUAUUUGCAUAAUCACUAUGCCGUUUUCGUAUUGCAUAAUUUUAUUUCGAUCGGGUUCAAUAUUCUGUUUAUACUAAUUAUGGUAGCCAUGCGGUUUGCCUGGCGUUUUGGCUGUUAAGUUUGGUGAUGUUGGCCUCCCUAAGGAUUUUUCACCCUCUCACAAGGUGUGUCCAAUAAACAGUACAGUCACUGAUCUUUGUCAACUUUUUAAGAAAAUAACAGAAUAUGAAGAAGGAAGACUAUAUAUAGGAUCGAUCUACUUCAUAACUGG
Saccostrea cuccullata (small rock oyster) is the source of this 362-nucleotide long non-coding RNA. RefSeq lists it as uncharacterized. The transcript has 2 exons. NCBI's taxonomy places the organism in Eukaryota, Metazoa, Mollusca, Bivalvia, Ostreida, Ostreidae. The record is from RefSeq and is a predicted model, not a curated record.